RNAcentral lists this ribosomal RNA (371 nucleotides) under Anguilla marmorata (giant mottled eel). RNAcentral describes it as "partial 16S rRNA". It matches the Rfam family "Bacterial large subunit ribosomal RNA", at positions 1996 to 2498 of the family's 2925-position model. Lineage: Eukaryota; Metazoa; Chordata; Actinopteri; Anguilliformes; Anguillidae. RNAcentral also lists the same sequence under 1 other name. The record is from RNAcentral.
AUGGCAUAACGAGGGUUUAACUGUCUCCCUCCCCUAGUCAAUGAAAUUGAUCUGCCCGUGCAGAAGCGGGCAUAAAUACAUAAGACGAGAAGACCCUAUGGAGCUUUAGACGAAAGAUCAAACAUGUAAAGAAACCAAACUAACCAAAAGGAACACAAAGGCCACUAAACCCAACGUAAAAUGAUCCAAAUGUCUUCGGUUGGGGCGACCAUGGGGGAAAGAAAAGCCCCCACGAGGAACUAGGGGCAAUCCAUUAAGUCAAGAGAUACACCUCUAAGCAACAGAAAAUCUGACCAAAAAUGACCCAGGACACUAAUCCUGAUCAACGAACCAAGUUACCCUAGGGAUAACAGCGCAAUCCUUUCCCAGAG